AAUAGCCUAACGGCUGAACCAGCAACUUGGAGGAAUGAAUAGCAAAAGCUAAUUGCACAUGUAUAUGAUGCAAUAUCGACUCAGUCGAAUAAAAUUCUGGGUAGAAUUAUGAUAAUGACAUUGUUUACUCAUGUGUCUUGACCAAAUUACGUGCCAGCAGUCGCGGUAAUACGUAGAAGACUAGUGUUAUUCAUCUUUAAUAGGUUUAAAGGGUACCUAGACGGUAAAUCAAGCCAUAGACGGGACUAAUUUGCUAGAGUUACUUGCGCGGGGGUUUUAAAGUACUAAUGGUGUAGAGAUAAAAUUUUGUAAUACCAUUUUUCGAAAGAAAAGCUAUGGCACUGGUUAAGGCGAAAGCAUCCCCUUAUGUGAUAACUGACGUUGAAGGACGAAGGCUUUGAAUCGCGAAUAGGAUUAGAUACCCUAGUAGUCAAAGCAGAGAAUUAUGAGUGUCAUAGAUUAGAGAUUAACUUUACUCUAUAAAUGAAAGUGUAAGCACUCCACCUCAAGAGUAAUUUGGCAACAUUGGAACUGAAAUCAUUAGACCGUUUCUGAAACCAGUAGUGAAGUAUGUUGUUUAAUCUGAUAAUCCGCACAACACCUUACCACAGCUUGAAUGUUUAUAUUUUUAAUAUAUUUACAAGUGUUGCAUGGCUGUCUUCAGUUAAUGUCGUGAGACUUUGGUUAGAUCCAUUAAAUUAACGCAAGCCCCUACUUUAUUUAUAAAUAAAGUCGUUCCCCACUAUAUUGGAUAUGAUAACAGGGACUAAGACAAGCCGUCAUGGCCUUAAUGCUGU
RNAcentral lists this ribosomal RNA (797 nucleotides) under Phyllopsora cuyabensis. RNAcentral describes it as "SSU rRNA". It matches the Rfam family "Bacterial small subunit ribosomal RNA", at positions 370 to 1210 of the family's 1533-position model. Lineage: Eukaryota; Fungi; Ascomycota; Lecanoromycetes; Lecanorales; Ramalinaceae. The record is from RNAcentral.